This 2905-nucleotide ribosomal RNA is filed under the name Escherichia coli. RNAcentral's name for it is "23S ribosomal RNA". It matches the Rfam family "Bacterial large subunit ribosomal RNA". Lineage: Bacteria; Pseudomonadati; Pseudomonadota; Gammaproteobacteria; Enterobacterales; Enterobacteriaceae. The record is from RNAcentral.
GGUUAAGCGACUAAGCGUACACGGUGGAUGCCCUGGCAGUCAGAGGCGAUGAAGGACGUGCUAAUCUGCGAUAAGCGUCGGUAAGGUGAUAUGAACCGUUAUAACCGGCGAUUUCCGAAUGGGGAAACCCAGUGUGAUUCGUCACACUAUCAUUAACUGAAUCCAUAGGUUAAUGAGGCGAACCGGGGGAACUGAAACAUCUAAGUACCCCGAGGAAAAGAAAUCAACCGAGAUUCCCCCAGUAGCGGCGAGCGAACGGGGAGCAGCCCAGAGCCUGAAUCAGUGUGUGUGUUAGUGGAAGCGUCUGGAAAGGCGCGCGAUACAGGGUGACAGCCCCGUACACAAAAAUGCACAUGCUGUGAGCUCGAUGAGUAGGGCGGGACACGUGGUAUCCUGUCUGAAUAUGGGGGGACCAUCCUCCAAGGCUAAAUACUCCUGACUGACCGAUAGUGAACCAGUACCGUGAGGGAAAGGCGAAAAGAACCCCGGCGAGGGGAGUGAAAAAGAACCUGAAACCGUGUACGUACAAGCAGUGGGAGCACAGAGCAAUCUGUGUGACUGCGUACCUUUUGUAUAAUGGGUCAGCGACUUAUAUUCUGUAGCAAGGUUAACCGAAUAGGGGAGCCGAAGGGAAACCGAGUCUUAACUGGGCGUUAAGUUGCAGGGUAUAGACCCGAAACCCGGUGAUCUAGCCAUGGGCAGGUUGAAGGUUGGGUAACACUAACUGGAGGACCGAACCGACUAAUGUUGAAAAAUUAGCGGAUGACUUGUGGCUGGGGGUGAAAGGCCAAUCAAACCGGGAGAUAGCUGGUUCUCCCCGAAAGCUAUUUAGGUAGCGCCUCGUGAAUUCAUCUCCGGGGGUAGAGCACUGUUUCGGCAAGGGGGUCAUCCCGACUUACCAACCCGAUGCAAACUGCGAAUACCGGAGAAUGUUAUCACGGGAGACACACGGCGGGUGCUAACGUCCGUCGUGAAGAGGGAAACAACCCAGACCGCCAGCUAAGGUCCCAAAGUCAUGGUUAAGUGGGAAACGAUGUGGGAAGGCCCAGACAGCCAGGAUGUUGGCUUAGAAGCAGCCAUCAUUUAAAGAAAGCGUAAUAGCUCACUGGUCGAGUCGGCCUGCGCGGAAGAUGUAACGGGGCUAAACCAUGCACCGAAGCUGCGGCAGCGACACUGUGUGUUGUUGGGUAGGGGAGCGUUCUGUAAGCCUGCGAAGGUGUGCUGUGAGGCAUGCUGGAGGUAUCAGAAGUGCGAAUGCUGACAUAAGUAACGAUAAAGCGGGUGAAAAGCCCGCUCGCCGGAAGACCAAGGGUUCCUGUCCAACGUUAAUCGGGGCAGGGUGAGUCGACCCCUAAGGCGAGGCCGAAAGGCGUAGUCGAUGGGAAACAGGUUAAUAUUCCUGUACUUGGUGUUACUGCGAAGGGGGGACGGAGAAGGCUAUGUUGGCCGGGCGACGGUUGUCCCGGUUUAAGCGUGUAGGCUGGUUUUCCAGGCAAAUCCGGAAAAUCAAGGCUGAGGCGUGAUGACGAGGCACUACGGUGCUGAAGCAACAAAUGCCCUGCUUCCAGGAAAAGCCUCUAAGCAUCAGGUAACAUCAAAUCGUACCCCAAACCGACACAGGUGGUCAGGUAGAGAAUACCAAGGCGCUUGAGAGAACUCGGGUGAAGGAACUAGGCAAAAUGGUGCCGUAACUUCGGGAGAAGGCACGCUGAUAUGUAGGUGAAGUCCCUCGCGGAUGGAGCUGAAAUCAGUCGAAGAUACCAGCUGGCUGCAACUGUUUAUUAAAAACACAGCACUGUGCAAACACGAAAGUGGACGUAUACGGUGUGACGCCUGCCCGGUGCCGGAAGGUUAAUUGAUGGGGUCAGCGCAAGCGAAGCUCUUGAUCGAAGCCCCGGUAAACGGCGGCCGUAACUAUAACGGUCCUAAGGUAGCGAAAUUCCUUGUCGGGUAAGUUCCGACCUGCACGAAUGGCGUAAUGAUGGCCAGGCUGUCUCCACCCGAGACUCAGUGAAAUUGAACUCGCUGUGAAGAUGCAGUGUACCCGCGGCAAGACGGAAAGACCCCGUGAACCUUUACUAUAGCUUGACACUGAACAUUGAGCCUUGAUGUGUAGGAUAGGUGGGAGGCUUUGAAGUGUGGACGCCAGUCUGCAUGGAGCCGACCUUGAAAUACCACCCUUUAAUGUUUGAUGUUCUAACGUUGACCCGUGAUCCGGGUUGCGGACAGUGUCUGGUGGGUAGUUUGACUGGGGCGGUCUCCUCCUAAAGAGUAACGGAGGAGCACGAAGGUUGGCUAAUCCUGGUCGGACAUCAGGAGGUUAGUGCAAUGGCAUAAGCCAGCUUGACUGCGAGCGUGACGGCGCGAGCAGGUGCGAAAGCAGGUCAUAGUGAUCCGGUGGUUCUGAAUGGAAGGGCCAUCGCUCAACGGAUAAAAGGUACUCCGGGGAUAACAGGCUGAUACCGCCCAAGAGUUCAUAUCGACGGCGGUGUUUGGCACCUCGAUGUCGGCUCAUCACAUCCUGGGGCUGAAGUAGGUCCCAAGGGUAUGGCUGUUCGCCAUUUAAAGUGGUACGCGAGCUGGGUUUAGAACGUCGUGAGACAGUUCGGUCCCUAUCUGCCGUGGGCGCUGGAGAACUGAGGGGGGCUGCUCCUAGUACGAGAGGACCGGAGUGGACGCAUCACUGGUGUUCGGGUUGUCAUGCCAAUGGCACUGCCCGGUAGCUAAAUGCGGAAGAGAUAAGUGCUGAAAGCAUCUAAGCACGAAACUUGCCCCGAGAUGAGUUCUCCCUGACCCUUUAAGGGUCCUGAAGGAACGUUGAAGACGACGACGUUGAUAGGCCGGGUGUGUAAGCGCAGCGAUGCGUUGAGCUAACCGGUACUAAUGAACCGUGAGGCUUAACCUU